Molecule: ribosomal RNA, 253 nt
Filed under: uncultured prokaryote
Description: partial 16S ribosomal RNA
Rfam family: Bacterial small subunit ribosomal RNA
Source: RNAcentral
ACGAAGGGUGCAAGCGUUAAUCGGAAUUACUGGGCGUAAAGGGUGCGUAGGCGGUUCGUUAAGUCUGUCGUGAAAUCCCCGGGCUCAACCUGGGAAUGGCGAUGGAUACUGGCGAGCUAGAGUGUGUCAGAGGGGGGUAGAAUUCCACGUGUAGCAGUGAAAUGCGUAGAUAUGUGGAGGAAUACCGAUGGCGAAGGCAGCCCCCUGGGAUAACACUGACGCUCAUGCACGAAAGCGUGGGGAGCAAACAGGA